GGAUUAGAUACCCUGGUAGUCCACGCCGUAAACGAUGAACACUCGGUGUUGGCGGAUCGAUCCCGCAGUGCCUUAGCUAACGCGUUAAGUGUUCCGCCUGGGGAGUACGGUCGCAAGAUUAAAACUCAAAGGAAUAGACGGGGACCCACACAAGCGGUGGAGCAUGUUGUUUAAUUCGACACAAAACGGGGAACCUUACCAAGGCUUGACAUCCUAAGAAUCCGCUGGAAACAGUGGAGUGCCGCAAGGAGCUUAGUGACAGGCGCUGCAUGGUUGUCGUCAUCGUGCUGCU
Molecule: ribosomal RNA, 292 nt
Filed under: uncultured bacterium
Lineage: Bacteria
Description: partial 16S ribosomal RNA
Rfam family: Bacterial small subunit ribosomal RNA
Source: RNAcentral